AUGAGUGUGAAUGAGGGGAUGGAGCUUAGGGACACUGAAGCAUCUCCAGAACUCAGCUGUGUGUCUAUGAAGAGUGAAGCAUCACUGAAUGAUCCGCUUGAUUUCAGUGGUGAAGCAGUGACCUCUGACCCCAGACUGAAGAUCCAAAAAGCUGCAUAUCCAGAACCCAACUGUUUGUCUAUGAAGAGUGAAGCAUCCUUGAAUGAUCCAAUUGAUUUCAGAGGUGAAGCAGUGACCUCUGACCCCAGAGUUCAGACGAAUGCAAAAAUCGACCCAUGUUUUUAACCUGCAAACACGUGGAGCUUUAAAUGUGAACUGGUGGAUCGAUAAGACAAUGCAUUAGUGAUGCACGGUAUACCGGUACUGAAAAAAUACCGGUAUCUAUUAUAUUUCAAAUGGUAUGAUAUCUUAAUUUUGCUCAAUUUGGUAUUUCAUAUGCUGCUGUUCUGAAGUUCACAUGUAGGUGGCAGUGCUUCCCAAAUUGCUAUGAAACCGGUAAACCUGAAGAACAACGUCAUGGAUUAAACAAAUGAAACUCUAACGUACCCAAAACUAAUAAAUAAAGAGAACAGUAGAAGUGAAAUUACUUU
Long non-coding RNA from Cyprinus carpio (common carp), 590 nucleotides. Lineage: Eukaryota; Metazoa; Chordata; Actinopteri; Cypriniformes; Cyprinidae. The record is from Ensembl.